This 444-nucleotide ribosomal RNA is filed under the name uncultured bacterium. RNAcentral describes it as "bacterial SSU rRNA". It matches the Rfam family "Bacterial small subunit ribosomal RNA", at positions 335 to 796 of the family's 1533-position model. The record is from RNAcentral.
UUCCCUACGGGGGGCAGCAGUAGGGAAUAUUGGUAAUCUGCGAAAGCGGGAACCAGCAACGCCGCGUGCGCGAUGACGGCCUUCGGGUUGUAAAGCGCUUUUCAAGAGGAAGAGGAAGGACUGUACUCUUGGAAUAAGUCUCGGCUAACUACGUGCCAGCAGCCGCGGUAACACGUAGGAGGCUAACGUUAUCCGGAUUUACUGGGCGUAAAGCGCGUGCAGGCUGUUCGGUAAGUUGGGCGUGAAAGCUCCCGGCUCAACUGGGAGACGUCGUUCAAUACUGUCGGACUAGAGGAUGGUAGAGGGAGGUGGAAUUCCGGGUGUAGUGGUGAAAUGCGCAGAUAUCCGGAGGAACACCAGUGGCGAAAGCGGCCUCCUGGACCAUUCCUGACGCUCAGACGCGAAAGCUAGGGUAGCGAACGGGAUUAGAUACCCCGGUAGUCC